CUCCCUCAUGAACAUACUAACUAGCUUUGACUCUCUCUCUCUCUCUCUCUCUGUGUGUGCGUGCCUUCCACUCAAAAUCUUUUCUAUUAUCUUAAGGUGAUCUGACUUAGGUAUUGGAAGAUUCUCUAUCGAAAAACUUCCAACAAAUAGACUUCCUCUAUCUAUAGUGCUUCAGAGUCGAUCCGGACAUUAGAGAAAAGAUCUGUCACUAUCAACAACUUCAAGAUCUCCGAUUAGCUACUUGGGUUCCUUGAGCACCUCAUCCAGCUCUUUAACUCACCAUCCAACUCAUCGACCCAAGUCAAACUAAUUUUUAGCAGCACCACAGUUCUAUCAUUGGACAUGAAUUUGUUUUGGUAUGAUGCUUCCAACGAGCCACCAUACUCAUCCAACUUUCUCUUUGAGAAGAAG
RNAcentral lists this long non-coding RNA (411 nucleotides) under Elaeis guineensis (African oil palm). Its description in RNAcentral is "long non-coding RNA (EGUI_LNC036277)". The record is from RNAcentral. Lineage: Eukaryota; Viridiplantae; Streptophyta; Magnoliopsida; Arecales; Arecaceae.